CUAAUUGGUCCUCAAACUUUGAAGAGCAAAUAUUUUGGUACUGAAAUUUUAAUUUAUUAAACUUUUUAGUUUGAAUUUUUAAAAUUAUUACAAUUAAUCAAGUGCCACAGCAUAACUUAGUUUACUAAAUGUUGGUACAUUACGGAUGUGUAAUGAUGUGACAUUUCAAUUAUUGUGAUGACAUUAAUUAUAGUAUUAGUACAUCAUGUCAUAUUAGCGACAAAUCAGCAUGUAAUUAACUAAUAAAUUAUAUGUGUUGUGAAACUUAUUACAAUAAUUUUAAAAAUUGAAGCCAAAUUUGGGGACUAAAUU
RNAcentral lists this long non-coding RNA (312 nucleotides) under Ananas comosus (pineapple). RNAcentral's name for it is "long non-coding RNA (ACOM_LNC006909)". The record is from RNAcentral. Lineage: Eukaryota; Viridiplantae; Streptophyta; Magnoliopsida; Poales; Bromeliaceae.